This 288-nucleotide long non-coding RNA is filed under the name Lupinus angustifolius (narrow-leaved blue lupine). RNAcentral's name for it is "long non-coding RNA (LANG_LNC000184)". Lineage: Eukaryota; Viridiplantae; Streptophyta; Magnoliopsida; Fabales; Fabaceae. The record is from RNAcentral.
UCCCAUGGUUGAUGUAUGAGCUGUAGCUGAACGAGCUCGUUUGGCCAAGUAGUUUAAGUCAAAGGCAUUUUAUUCAUUUGAUUGUGCCACAACUUUUCGGAUUUGGAGUUCUGCCUCCAGAAGCUCCUCGACUGCACGAAAUUACUAUUGUCUAACUCAAAUGGUCUUGAAUGUUGGUCACUGCUUUCUUUACAUUAGUUCACUUGUGUUGUCUUAGUGUUGGCAAUUUGGCAUAGAUUACCAGACUCCAGAAAGAAUAAUAGGAGCAGGGUGAUCAUUCACAUUUUU